UUCCAUUCCAGCAUUCCCCCGUCCACCACACCUCCAAAACUCCUACGGACAUCGUCUCGGACGCCGAGCAAACCGAUCGAGCUGAUCGAUCUGCAAGGGAUCUGCUCCUCCGUCCCCAACCAGGAUCCUUGUACCUUGCUCCCAGGCCCUUAGUGAGGAGGAGCUGAUCGACGCCCCGGACGCGCAGAGGACCCAGAAGGACGUACCAGACUACGAGAUGACUCCGAAGACCUAGGACGACUACGAGAAGUCUCAGUUUGGUAGAUGCAGGAUCCGACUCGAAGAUCGACGAUGACUUUGAAGGAAGGACUAAGGACGACUCGUGCUUCGCUCAAGUUUGCCUGUGGAUGAAAGAAGAUGUCAAGAUGAAGGAUGCCCCAGAAGUCUAGCUACCGCUUCCGUUUUCUGGUUGUUCCCUUUUAGCCCAAUGGGCAUGUACCAGAUGAUUUCGUACCACAAUCCGUUGGAUUAUGUAAUAAUUAAACCUUUGUUGUGUUU
This is a long non-coding RNA of Panicum virgatum (switchgrass), 498 nucleotides long. RefSeq lists it as uncharacterized. The transcript is spliced from 3 exons. NCBI's taxonomy places the organism in Eukaryota, Viridiplantae, Streptophyta, Magnoliopsida, Poales, Poaceae. The record is from RefSeq and is a predicted model, not a curated record.